AUUACCCACUCCCGNNNCGGGGAGGUAGUGACGAAAAAUAACGAUACGGGACUCAUCCGAGGCCCCGUAAUCGGAAUGAGUACACUUUAAAUCCUUUAACGAGGAUCAAUUGGAGGGCAAGUCUGGUGCCAGCAGCCGCGGUAAUUCCAGCUCCAAUAGCGUAUAUUAAAGUUGUUGCGGUUAAAAAGCUCGUAGUCGGAUCUGUGUUCCGCGCCGCCGGUUCAUCGUUCGCGGUGUUAACUGGCGUGUCGUGGAACGUCCUGUCGGUGGGCUUAGCUCUUCCGGGGCGGCCCAAUCAAUCCCGCCGCGGUGCUCUUCAUUGAGUGUCGAGGUGGGCCGACACGUUUACUUUGAACAAAUUAGAGUGCUUAAAGCAGGCUAAAACUUCGCCUGAAUACUGUGUGCAUGGAAUAAUGGAAUAGGACCUCGGUUCUAUUUUGUUGGUUUUCGGAACCCCGAGGUAAUGAUUAAUAGGAACGGAUGGGGGCAUUCGUAUUGCUGCGUUAGAGGUGAAAUUCUUGGAUCGCAGCAAGACGGACAGAAGCGAAAGCAUUUGCCAAAAACGCUUUCAUUGAUCAAGAACGAAAGUUAGAGGUUCGAAGGCGAUCAGAUACCGCCCUAGUUCUAACCAUAAACGAUGCCAGCUAGCGAUCCGCCGACGUUCCUCCGAUGACUCGGCGGGCAGCUUCCGGGAAACCAAAGCUUUUGGGUUCCGGGGGAAGUAUGGUUGCAAAGCUGAAACUUAAAGGAAUUGACGGAAGGGCACCACCAGGAGUGGAGCCUGCGGCUUAAUUUGACUCAACACGGGAAACCUCACCAGGCCCGGACACCGGAAGGAUUGACAGAUUGAGAGCUCUUUCUUGAUUCGGUGGGUGGUGGUGCAUGGCCGUUCUUAGAGUUGGUGGAGUGAUUUGUCUGGUUAAUUCCGAUAACGAACGAGACUCUAGCCUGCUAACUAGGCGUAUUAGACAUCUCAAGGCCCGCCGGUCCGGAACUUGUUCCGUGUCUGGCGCGGUUUUUACUGUCUGCGUACACUAUGUUCUUCUUAGAGGGACAGGCGGCUUCUAGCCGCACGAGAUUGAGCAAUAACAGGUCUGUGAUGCCCUUAGAUGUUCUGGGCCGCACGCGCGCUACACUGAAGGAAUCAGCGUGUCCUCCCUGGCCGAGCGGCCCGGGUAACCCGCUGAACCUCCUUCGUGCUAGGGAUUGGGGCUUGCAAUUGUUCCCCAUGAACGAGGAAUUCCCAGUAAGCGCAAGUCAUAAGCUUGCGUUGAUUACGUCCCUGCCCUUUGUACACACCGCCCGUCGCUACUACCGAUUGAAUGAUUUAGUGAGGUCUUCGGAUCGGUACGCGGUGGCGUUUCGGCGUCGCCGAUGUUGCUGAAAAGAUGACCAAAACUUGAUCAAUUAGAGGAAGUAAAAGUCGUAACAAGGUUUCC
This 1439-nucleotide ribosomal RNA is filed under the name Clemmus minor. Its description in RNAcentral is "SSU rRNA". It matches the Rfam family "Eukaryotic small subunit ribosomal RNA", at positions 440 to 1804 of the family's 1831-position model. The record is from RNAcentral. Lineage: Eukaryota; Metazoa; Arthropoda; Insecta; Coleoptera; Endomychidae.